This 1457-nucleotide ribosomal RNA is filed under the name metagenome. Its description in RNAcentral is "bacterial LSU rRNA". It matches the Rfam family "Bacterial large subunit ribosomal RNA", at positions 1462 to 2895 of the family's 2925-position model. The record is from RNAcentral.
UUGUAGGGGGACGCAGGAAGGUAGAUGAACCCGGUGAAUGGUAGAACCGGGGUAAGCGUGUAGGAGGAGGACCAGGUAAAUCCGGGCCUCAUAAACUCUGAGACGUGAUACCGAGCCGCUUCAGGCGAAGUCAUUGAUCCUAUGCUGCCUAGAAAAGCCCAGCAGCGAGUUGACAUGGUGCCCGUACCCCAAACCAACACAGGUGGACAGGUAGAGCAUACCAAGGCGAGUGGGAUAACUAUGGUUAAGGAACUCGGCAAAUUGCCUCCGUAACUUCGGGAGAAGGAGGACCCCAGUAGCGUGAUGAGACUUGCUCUCUGAGCGUGAAGGGGUGGCACAAAAUUGAGGGAAGCGACUGUUUACCAAAAACACAGCAGCGUGCUAAGCCGUAAGGCGCUGUAUACGCUGUGACUCCUGCCCGGUGCUGGAAGGUUACGGGGAUGGGUUAGUCCUUCGGGACGAAGCUCUGAACCUAAGCCCCAGUAAACGGCGGCCGUAACUAUAACGGUCCUAAGGUAGCGAAAUUCCUUGUCGGGUAAGUUCCGACCUGCACGAAUGGAGUAACGACUUCCCUACUGUCUCAACCAUAGACCCAGCGAAAUUGAAGUACGAGUAAAGAUGCUCGUUAGCUGCAGAAGGACGGAAAGACCCCGUGGACCUUUACUAUAACUUGAUGUUGUGUUUUGUCAUAUGUUGUGUAGGAUAGGUGGGAGACUUGGAAGCAUGGACGCUAGUCUGUGUGGAGUCAUCGUUGAAAUACUACCCUGCAUAUGGUGAGGCUCUAACCUAGACCCGUUAUCCGGGUUGGGGACAGCGUCAGGCGGGUAGUUUAACUGGGGCGGUUGCCUCCUAAAGAGUAACGGAGGCGCCCAAAGGUUCCCUCAGCCUGGUUGGCAAUCAGGCGUUGAGUGCAAUGGCAAAAGGGAGCUUGACUGCGAGACCUACAAGUCGAGCAGGAGCGAAAGCUGGGCAUAGUGAUCCGGCGGUUGCGUGUGGAAGCGCCGUCGCUCAACGGAUAAAAGGUACCCCGGGGAUAACAGGCUAAUCUUGCCCAAGCGUCCAUAGCGACGGCAAGGUUCGGCACCUCGAUGUCGGCUCAUCGCAUCCUGGGGCUGAAGCAGGUCCCAAGGGUUGGGCUGUUCGCCCAUUAAAGCGGUACGCGAGCUGGGUUCAGAACGUCGUGAGACAGUUCGGUCCCUAUCCUCUGCAGCCGGAGGUGAAUUGAGGAAAGCUGUCCCUAGUACGAGAGGACCGGGACGGACGCAGCUCUCGUGUGCCAGUUGUCCUGCCAAGGGCAUGGCUGGUUAGCGACCUGCGGAAAGGAUAACCGCUGAAAGCAUCUAAGCGGGAAGCCUCUUCCAAGAUGAAUUCACCCACAGGGUUAACCUGGUAAGGCCCGUGGUAGACCACCACGUUGAUAGGCCGGAAGUGUAAGCGUGGCAACACGUUCAGCUGAC